This 348-nucleotide ribosomal RNA is filed under the name uncultured bacterium. RNAcentral's name for it is "bacterial SSU rRNA". It matches the Rfam family "Bacterial small subunit ribosomal RNA", at positions 335 to 674 of the family's 1533-position model. The record is from RNAcentral.
ACUCCUACGGGAGGCAGCAGUGGGGAAUAUUGCACAAUGGGCGCAAGCCUGAUGCAGCCAUGCCGCGUGUAUGAAGAAGGCCUUCGGGUUGUAAAGUACUUUCAGCAGUGAGGAAGGUGGAGUCGUUAAUAGCGGCCUCAUUUGACGUUAGCUGCAGAAGAAGCACCGGACCNAANUUCCGCCAGCAGCCGCGGUAAUACGGAGGGUGCGAGCGUUAAUCGGAAUUACUGGGCGUAAAGCGCAUGCAGGUGGUUUGUUAAGUCAGAUGUGAAAGCCCGGGGCUCAACCUCGGAAUUGCAUUUGAAACUGGCAGACUAGAGUACUGUAGAGGGGGGUAGAAUUUCAGGU